GGAAAUGUGCUUGGGUUUGUUUGUGGCGGGUUUGUUCUUUAGCUGUUUGUAAUAAGUCUUGCUGCUGGUUGCUGUUUGGGUCCACACUGCCUUUAUGAGUUGUAACGCUGCCUGAGAAGGUCUGUAGCUUCACUCCUUGAAGCCGGUGAGAUCACGAACUCCACCGGGAGGAACAAACAACUCCAGACGCGCCACCUUAAGACCUGUAAUACUCAUCGCGAAGGUCUACCCUUUUAUUCUUGAGCCAGUAAGACCACGAACCCCACAGAAGAAAGAAACUCUGAACACGUCCGAAUGUCAGGAGGAACAAACUCUGGCCAUGCUACCUUUAAGAACUGUAACACUCACCUCCAGGGUGCGCGGCUUCGUUCUUGAAGUCAGUGAGACCAAGAACCCCCCAAUUCUGCACAGAAUAGGUCUUACAGCUGUAAUUCUGGGAACCCAAACGCUUUUCACCAGAAAAGGGCCGAUGCCAAAAACUGAGUACUUUUUCAAUAAUAGCUGCUGAAUUAGAGAAUUUCUGCUUGGGGCAUUUACUGCCUUGCUAUGGAACAUUAACUGAAGCUCCCCCUAUGCUAAUGGAAAUAAUGUUUCCCAGAAGAGUCCAUGAUAAAAUAAAAAUGGUUUACACAAAAUCUUGCUACCUGGAAACCAAAAUCAUGGUAUUUUGAAGACCAGAGAUAUGAGUCUCCGUUGUUUGGCAUCCCACUGACCCCACAUCUGUUUCGCUGCUAAUGCUCUGCUGCCAGAACUAUCCAAGCUGCCUCCCUCUGGGCCCAGGGACUAUCGCUGAAGAGAUGACAUCUCUGUAUGUUACCCAGGUUGGACUGGAACUCUGGGCUCAAGCCAUCCUCCUGCCUCACCUCCUGAAGUGUUGGGAUUACAGGUAUGUGAAUCACUGCACCCUUCCUGAAUUUCCAUUUUUCAGAUAAGCUCAGACAAGGAAUUUAUUUACGAAUAAGAGAUUCAUGAUGAAACAAAUACGGUAUCUUAGAUUAUCUUAAGAUUCUCUGCAUGCCCAUAGUUUAGUUUAAUUCAAUCAAAAACAGUUACAAAAAUACCUUUGUCAAGCACUGGGCUGAGUAUGGGAUGUUACCAUAGUCUGUUUGUGGGACAUAAAAUUGUAAUUAUAAUCCUGUGUGGUAAGUGCAACACCAGGAACAUGGAUACACAGAUUCACUGGAGUGGCGUCUGGACUCCAGAUUCUAGAGGAGUAAUUCUAUACUGAUUAGUAACCGCUGGCUUUAAAGGUGAGAUUUGUUACUUCUAGAAGCUGAUUUCAUCUGGGACGGACAUAAUUGCUCCCAGUGCCAAUGAAACCAAGCUUCCAGGACCAAUCCCACAUUUAAGGUUUUUUUUUUUUUUUAAUUAAUUAAUUAAUUUUUUUUCAGAGACAAGUUCUCCCAGGCUGGUCUUGAACCCCUGGGCUCAAGGGAUCCUCUUGCCUUUGACUCCCAAAGUGCUAGGAUUAUAGGUUUCAGCCAUCACACCUGGCCUCCAAAUUUAGUUUUAUUCUGGGGGUUGACAAACUCUUUUGGAAAGAGUCAGAAAAUAAAUAUUCUAGGCUUUGUGGGCCACACUCAGUCUUUGCCAGGGGCAUACAGUGAGUCACGCUACACUGCUCUCUGAAUCUUAGGAAUGGCCCUAAAGCUGUCAGAAGAGAUCUCAAAUAGGAAUGUCAUUGAAAAAGGACCAAAAUUCAAACAUGUUGAAGUGUGGUGGACUGUGUUUUUCUUCUCAUUGGCUGCCCUAUGUGGGGGGUUGAACACAUCCACUCCUGCCAUGGGGUUGCUCUGUCUACCUUGUGGGUGAAUUUACUUCCCCACACACUGAUCUCAAGCAUGGCCACACGGCCUGCUUCCAUAAAAUGUCAGUGGGAAUGUGGUGUGCCUCUUCCCAGCGGAUACUGAAGAGCCAUUGCGUGCUCUUGUCAUUUGCCUUCUCCUUCCCCAAGAUCAACAUGGCCCAGGUGAGCUUGAUCCCAGAAUGAAGACACACAGAGCAGAGUCACAGCUCUCAGCUGACCUGGAAAAUAAAUAAGAAUUAAACCUUUGUUCUUAGAGGCCUAUGAGAUAUUUUUUUUUUGGCUGCCACUGCAUAAUCUAAGAAAGCUGACUAGUACACAAAGACACGUAUACCCACUGAAGCUAUUUCACUCUGGUCCCAUACGUCUGAGCUAAGCAGGCAUAGAUCAAAAUCAUGGAGUACAUUUUAACUUAUGAAUAAACUGUGAAAAAUAUAAUUCUCAAAUUAUGUUUUUUUAAGAGAUGGGAGUCUCACUUUGUGGCCCAGGCUGGUCUCGAUCCUCUAGCCUCAGCCUCCCAAGAUGCUGAGAUUAUAGGAAUGAGCCAUCACACCUGGCCUAUAAUUCUCAAUUUUUAAUUUUGUCUAUAAAGUUGUUUCAUUUUAAAGAAGAGGUAAAGCUUGCUAUAGAUUGCUCAGAGUUCUAAGCAAGGAAAGUUAGUAAAGUAGAAUGAACAGGCCAGGUGUGGUGGCUCAUGUCUGUAAUCCCAGCACUUUGGGAGGCUGAGGUGGGCGAACUACUUGAGGAUAGGAGUUCGAGACCAGCCUAGGUAACGUGGUGAGACCGUGUCUCUAGAAAAAUACGAAAAUUAGCCAGGCAUGGUGGCGGACACCUAUAGUCCCAGCUACUGGGGUGACUAAGGCAGGAGGAUCCCUUGAGCCCAGGAGGUGGAGGUUGCAGUGACCGAGAUCACACACCACUGCACUCUGGCCUGGGUGGCAGAGUAAAACCCUGUCUC
Pan troglodytes (chimpanzee) is the source of this 2762-nucleotide long non-coding RNA. RefSeq lists it as uncharacterized. The transcript has 4 exons. The record is from RefSeq and is a predicted model, not a curated record. NCBI's taxonomy places the organism in Eukaryota, Metazoa, Chordata, Mammalia, Primates, Hominidae.